UANGUAAUNAGACUUUGAGAGAGAGUUCAAAAGUACGUGAAACUGUUCAGAGGUAAACAGGUGGGCCCUCGAAAUCCUGUGGUGGGAGCAUUCAGUUGGGGUGAUGAGACGAGCGUUGGGAUACGACGAAGAAGGUACCCGCGACGGGACCGUCCUGGCGUUCGCUUCGAUUCUCACCGACGCAUUUGCUUCCCGCCCGAAGGACGUCGCAACCGGUUGGGGGACGGCCUUAAGGGCGAGAACCGGCAGUUGGCCGGUGGCGUGCCUCGUGCGCGUCGCCGGCUGUUAGCCAUCUCGUCGCACGGCUCGUACCCCGACCGUGGCAAGAAAGAGGCCUACGACUAGGCUUCGACGUCUCCUCCCACAAGGUGGCGGGUAGAAGCGCGGCAGGGGCUCGACGGCUUGCGGGCGCACGGACCGACUCCGUGGCCCAGCGUUUCGUCGUCCUCGUUGGCUGUGCAAGGCCCGCAGGGAGUGCUGACGGUUGGCGGCGAGUAGAUCGGUCACCCACCUGACCCGUCUUGAAACACGGACCAAGGAGUGCAACACGUGCGCGAGUCAAUGGGACUCGAAUAAGCCCAGAGGCGCAAUGAAAGCGAAGGUUCGGAUGACUCCGGCCGUGUUGGGAUCCCGGCUCCUUCGCGGGCCGGGCGCACCAGCGACACGUCCUAUCCCGCUUGCGGGUUGGGCGUAGUCUGAGCGCACGCGUUGCGACCCGAAAGGUGGUGAACUAUGCCCGGGCAGGACGAGGCCAGAGGAAACUCUGGUGGAGGUCCGCAGCGGUUCUGACGUGCAAAUCGAUCGUCAGAUCCGGGUAUAGGAAAAAAAANNUUAUUAAAAAA
This 842-nucleotide ribosomal RNA is filed under the name Porrhomma montanum. Its description in RNAcentral is "partial 28S ribosomal RNA". It matches the Rfam family "Eukaryotic large subunit ribosomal RNA", at positions 359 to 942 of the family's 3401-position model. The record is from RNAcentral. Lineage: Eukaryota; Metazoa; Arthropoda; Arachnida; Araneae; Linyphiidae.